Molecule: ribosomal RNA, 1728 nt
Filed under: Triticum aestivum (bread wheat)
Lineage: Eukaryota; Viridiplantae; Streptophyta; Magnoliopsida; Poales; Poaceae
Description: partial small subunit ribosomal RNA
Source: RNAcentral
AUGGCGGGCGGAUCAGACGGCACCGACGUGCCGGCCGGCGGCGAGAUCUGGGGCACGCUGGAGGAGCUGCUGCUGGCGUUCGCCGUGUGCCGGCACGGCACGGCCAGCUGGGACUCGGUGGCCACGGAGGUGCAGGCGCGGUGCCCGCUGGCCGCCCGCCCCCGCCUCACGCCCGGCAGCUGCCGCCUCCGCUUCCACCAGCUCCACCGACGCUUCUCCGCCGGCGGCGGGGCGGAGGAGGAGGAGCAGGAGGAUGGGGAGGUCGGCCCUGAGGCCGAGGCCUCCGCCGCCGACGGGUGGCUGGACGAGCUCCGGCGCCUCCGCGUCGCCGAGCUCCGGCGCGAGGUCGAGCGAUGCGAUCUCUCCAUCGGGACGUUGCAGAGCAAGGUGGAGCUGAUGAAGGAGGAGCGGGAGCGGAGCCUGUCGAGCGGCGAGGCGAAGCCGGAGGGGGUGACCGGCGACGAGAACGUGUCGAGCGAGGAGCCCGGGCGGUCGUGCCGGGAGUCCAACUCCACAGAUCUGAAGCGCCCCGGCGCCGCCGCCAAGGCGGCUGAGGAGGCGGCCAAGGAGGAGCUGUCCGGGGAGUCCAAGGAGAGCGCCGUGAGCCUGCAGUGCCGGCGGCGGAAGGCGAGCGCCGAGGAGGAGGCCGACGAGCCGCUGGCCGCCCUGCUCGACAGGGUCGCCGCCAGGUUCGGCCCCGUGUUCGAGCAGCUGCAGGAGAGCCAGGAGAGCGAGUCGUACCGGGGCACGAUCAGGCGGCACGUGGACCUGGAGGCCAUGCGCCGGAAGCUGGACGGCGCGGCGGGCUACGCCAGCAGCGCCGAGCUCUACCGCGACCUGCUGCUGCUCUGCGCCAACGCCGCCGUCUACCUCCCGCGCCACGCGCCCGACCACGCCGCCGCCGCGCUCAACGCCCUCCGCCUCGUCUCCGCGCAGGUCUCCGCCUCGCUCCGCGAGUCCCCGACCAAGCGGGAGCCGCCGAGCGGCGCCAACCCCCCACCGGCGCCGGCGGUGGGGCUGGACCCUCGGAGGGCCGAGGCCGACAUCGUCGGGCCGCUCAUCCAGAAAGCUGCCAAGCCGCUCAUCUUCUGCCGCAAGAGGAGCUCCAUCGCCAAGGCUGCCGCGGCGGCGGCCGUCGCUAGGAAGGAGGAGGCCGCGGAGAAGCGGGACGUUGAGGAGGAGGCUGAGAGCGACGGCGAGAAGAAGGCCGCCGUGGCCGCGGCGGCCAAGGGCAAGGCGUGGGGUACGGGGACGAAGAAGACCCGCGGCCCCGGCAAGAACUCGGCUCUGAGCCGCAAGAAGGCGGCGGCAGCUGCGGAAGAAGCGGCUUCGGCGGCGGCUGAGAAGAAGGACAACGGGGACUCCGACGGGGCGGCCGCCGGUGGGCUGCCCAAGAAGCGGAUCGCCGUGGACUUCCUGAAGCGGCUGAACCAGGGCAAGUCGUCGCCCCCGAAGAAGAGAGGGUCGCCGCUGACGAAGCGGAAGCGGUCGGCGCCGGCGCCGGAGGAGGAGGAGGAGCAGCAGCCCAAGGCCAGGAGGGGGCCAGGCAGGAAGAACACCGGCCGCGGUGGCUCCAAGGCAGGAGCCAAGUCUAGCGCGACGAAGAAAAGUGUCGGGCGGCCACAGAAACGGGGCGCUGCUCCGGCGACUCCGCCGCCGGCAAAGAGGGCCAAGGUGAACAGGUCGGAGAGGUCCUCCUCGUCGUCGAGGCGAGGAGGGAGGAAGUAG